GUUUCAAGUCUCCACGAGACCCUCUGAGGCUGUGGGGACCCCCUGCUCCCUACAACAUGAGCUGGUGUUUCCCAAGCUGCCUGCUCCAUGAGCUUGUCUUCAGCCCUUCUGUUAUGCCAUGGACAGAGCAGCACACCCACAGCACAGGAGGGUCCUCCACUGCCUGUGGAGACCCCUGAAGGAUUUCCGUCCAGCCCAUGGGAGAUGAGCUGCUAGCAUGGCACAGAAACUCUCCACGGUUCCUGCUGGCCCAGUGUAAUCACCCAGCACUCUGCUAAUGCCCACCAACCUUUCCAGCCGGGGCUCACAGUAAUUUUUCUCCCAG
Molecule: long non-coding RNA, 325 nt
Filed under: Cavia porcellus (domestic guinea pig)
Lineage: Eukaryota; Metazoa; Chordata; Mammalia; Rodentia; Caviidae
Description: lncRNA (ENSCPOG00000037446.1)
Source: RNAcentral